RNAcentral lists this long non-coding RNA (501 nucleotides) under Elaeis guineensis (African oil palm). RNAcentral describes it as "long non-coding RNA (EGUI_LNC035224)". Lineage: Eukaryota; Viridiplantae; Streptophyta; Magnoliopsida; Arecales; Arecaceae. The record is from RNAcentral.
GGAGAGGCAGCAUGUGUCUGCAGUAUCUUAUGUCUAUGGCAUUUUGUGCCCUCCUCGAUGGUCUUCUGAGGGUCUGGUUAGUUAGCUCUCACGAGAGGCAUCGUGUGCUUNNNNNNNNNNNNNNNNNNNNGGCGUCUUGUGUCUACAGCAUCUGGUGCUCUUCUUGUCUUCGCACGAGAGGCAGCAUGUGCGUGCGGCAUCUUGUACCUAUGGUAUCUUGUACCCUCCUCGAUGGCCUUUUGAGGAUCUGGUUAGUUAGCUCUCAUGAGAGGCAUUAUAUGCCUGCAGCAUCUUGUGUCUACAGCAUCUUGUGCUCUUUUCGUCUUCACCCGAGAGGCAAUGUAUGCCUGUGGCAUCUUAUGCCUAUGACAUCUUAUGGCCUCCUCGACGGCCUUCUGAGGGUCUGGUUAGUUGGCCUUCACGAGAGGCAUCGUAUGCCUGUGGCAUCUUGUGCUCUUUUCAUCUUUGUGCGAGAGGAAGCGUGUACCUGCAGUAUCUUGU